UGAGUAAGUUGUGCGGCCGCAGCGACAAGCCGAAAGGCUGUCGGUGAGGAAAGUCCGGGCUCCAUAGGGCAAGGAUGCCGGGUAACGCCCGGUGAAGGUGACUUUAAGGAAAGUGCAACAGAAAGAUACCGCCGAAUUUUCGGCAAGGGUGGAAUGGUGAGGUAAGAGCUUACCGGCAGGCUGGAGACAGCCUGGCCCUGCAAACCCCAUCCGGAGCAACACCGUGGAGGAAUAACUGUGACCCGCAGGUUCCGAGGAGGUGGC
Molecule: RNase P RNA, 264 nt
Filed under: Clostridiaceae bacterium
Lineage: Bacteria; Bacillati; Bacillota; Clostridia; Eubacteriales; Clostridiaceae
Description: partial RNase P RNA component class A
Rfam family: Bacterial RNase P class A
About the family: Ribonuclease P (RNase P) is a ubiquitous endoribonuclease, found in archaea, bacteria and eukarya as well as chloroplasts and mitochondria. Its best characterised activity is the generation of mature 5'-ends of tRNAs by cleaving the 5'-leader elements of precursor-tRNAs. Cellular RNase Ps are ribonucleoproteins.
Source: RNAcentral